RNAcentral lists this ribosomal RNA (154 nucleotides) under Brachymonas petroleovorans (nom. illeg.). RNAcentral describes it as "Brachymonas petroleovorans partial 16S ribosomal RNA". It matches the Rfam family "Bacterial small subunit ribosomal RNA", at positions 338 to 485 of the family's 1533-position model. Lineage: Bacteria; Pseudomonadati; Pseudomonadota; Betaproteobacteria; Burkholderiales; Comamonadaceae. The record is from RNAcentral.
CCUACGGGAGGCAGCAGUGGGGAAUUUUGGACAAUGGGCGCAAGCCUGAUCCAGCCAUGCCGCGUGCAGGAAGAAGGCCUUCGGGUUGUAAACUGCUUUUGUACGGAACGAAAAAGCCCUGGUUAAUACCUAGGGCUGAUGACGUACCGAAGAA